CUUUCUUUGGGUAUAGCAGUUGUGGGUUGCAAAUUCAGUCUCUGUCAUAAUUAAAUAUUAAGUCAAUUAAUACCAUCACUAACUUUCUGCAAGCAUACAACAAAGAAAAGACAGAAAAAAAUUUAGAAAACAAUAAAGUAUUCUAGCAAAAGAGGCAUGAAAAAUAGGAAUAAAAUGUGAAGUCCUCUCUCCCUAACAAUAAAGAAAGACAGAAUUUGCAUUUACAGUGGAACUAUGAGGGCCUCCCUUAAUAAAGAAUUCACAAAAAACAAGUAACUCCAAAAAUGCGCGACAUGCAAGUGAUUUAAAGGACCCAUUUCUUUAUUACCAAACAAAAAGUAACCAAAUUUAUAUAGAACUAUCUAGGUAACAACAGAAAAUGUAAACAAUGCAAAAAUAAGAAACCGUAAACCACUUUUAAUAAAUUAUUCGAAACCCUAGAAUCCAAACCCAAUACCAGCUAGAACAUUCAACAAAAUAGCAUAACAAAUCGACUAAAAACACAAAAAAGCGAACAAUUUCAUGAAGAAGGAUGGUACCUUUGAACUCGUCCGAUCCUAAAUCGCCAAACUUCAUGCGCAAACCUUCUACCGCCAAACUUCAGUAAAGAACUCGGACUUAGAAAAGAGAGACAAAACUAGUGCUGACCGGAUAAAAUGAGAAGGAUUUUAAUUUAAGUGGGUUUUUAUUUAAUUGGGUAUUGGGUUAUUGAAAUAGGUGGGUCGGGUAGUUCAUUGUGAGAUGGGUAUUUAAGUUAGGUCUGAAAAUUGCACAGGCAUUGAACAUGUGUCCCCUCUAUUAAUGAAAGGGCAAAAAUAUUCAACUGUGACGGUAGGAAGUCAAAAGUACCAAUAGUAUAACGGAGCCUUUCUAAAUACUAUAUUCAAUAGUGCAGUGCUAUAUUUGACCCCUUUUCCGUAUUUGCGAUUUGUUUAUUAUAUUUUGAGUCCCUGGAUAGGUAUGUAUAUUGAUUUUGGACUUGUUGUGUACCACACAGGGGCUGCCUUGGGUUUUAGGCGUGCGUCGUGUUGGAAAAAAAUAAUAAUCUCCUCCAGAAAUCAUAUUCAUGGUAAAUAACAAUAAUAUAAGAGAGUAACAACGAUAAUAAAUAUUUUAUCGGGAUAAAAUAUAAUACCCGAGUGGAGCAAUAUAACCACUAUAAUAUUACAACUUAGUAGUGUCAAGAGACUACUACAACUUCGAAGAGAAAUAACACUCUUUAUUUUAGAUACCUCACUACAAUAUUACUCACACUCACUAUUUAUCU
This 1267-nucleotide long non-coding RNA is filed under the name Nicotiana benthamiana. RNAcentral describes it as "long non-coding RNA (NBEN_LNC037967)". The record is from RNAcentral. Lineage: Eukaryota; Viridiplantae; Streptophyta; Magnoliopsida; Solanales; Solanaceae.